This 474-nucleotide long non-coding RNA is filed under the name Homo sapiens (human). RNAcentral's name for it is "non-protein coding lnc-ABCD3-2:11". The record is from RNAcentral. Lineage: Eukaryota; Metazoa; Chordata; Mammalia; Primates; Hominidae.
AGAACGCGGCGGUCAGCUGCGCCCGGCCUGAAGUUGUCCCAACCGCGGCCGCGUCGGUCGCCCUUUUGACUUGCAGCAGGGCGGGCAGAGCGACUUAGAGGAAAAGUGACUUUUUGUACCCUCCUGCAGGGAGCAGGUUCUCUGUCCUUGUUUAAUUAGACAUUUCUCAGGUGGGCACUUUGAAUUCCUUCCAGUCAAGACUCAGGUGUUCAACUUGUUUUGUCGGCCGUCUUCCUCCACCCUUCUUCUCCCAUUCAAAACAAAAGUACGUUUUGUGCUUAACUUUAAAACUCCCCCCACUCUUUUCUGUCUUCAACUGAUUGUCACUUUCAGCAAACCAAAUAAAUUACUCAAAACAUCAGCUAUUAUACAGUCCCCGACACAUGGCAGGUGCUCAGUAGAUGCUAGUUGAUCGCAUGUCCCCUAACCACGCUACCUGCUUCUUACCAUUAAGUGCUCCUUCAGUCAUGGGAC